RNAcentral lists this small RNA (42 nucleotides) under Arabidopsis thaliana (thale cress). RNAcentral describes it as "ATSL027060". Lineage: Eukaryota; Viridiplantae; Streptophyta; Magnoliopsida; Brassicales; Brassicaceae. The record is from RNAcentral.
AUCGGUUUAACAUUGCCCUUGGGACGGCUAAGGGAAUAACUU